RNAcentral lists this ribosomal RNA (257 nucleotides) under uncultured prokaryote. RNAcentral's name for it is "partial 16S ribosomal RNA". It matches the Rfam family "Bacterial small subunit ribosomal RNA", at positions 524 to 780 of the family's 1533-position model. The record is from RNAcentral.
UACGUAGGUGGCAAGCGUUAUCCGGAAUUAUUGGGCGUAAAGAGCGCGCAGGUGGUUGAUUAAGUCUGAUGUGAAAGCCCACGGCUCAACCGUGGAAGGUCAUUGGAAACUGGGGAACUUGAGUGCAGAAGAGGAGAGUGGAAUUCCAUGUGUAGCGGUGAAAUGCGUAGAUAUAUGGAGGAACACCAGUGGCGAAGGCGACUCUCUGGUCUGUAACUGACGCUGAGGCUCGAAAGUGUGGGGAUCAAACAGGAUUA